RNAcentral lists this ribosomal RNA (108 nucleotides) under Staphylococcus arlettae. Its description in RNAcentral is "partial 23S ribosomal RNA". It matches the Rfam family "Bacterial large subunit ribosomal RNA", at positions 2820 to 2925 of the family's 2925-position model. Lineage: Bacteria; Bacillati; Bacillota; Bacilli; Caryophanales; Staphylococcaceae. The record is from RNAcentral.
CUUCGGUUAUAAGAUCCCUCAAAGAUGAUGAGGUUAAUAGGUUCGAGGUGGAAGCAUAGUGAUAUGUGGAGCUGACGAAUACUAAUCGAUCGAAGACUUAAUCAAAUU